Molecule: ribosomal RNA, 253 nt
Filed under: uncultured bacterium
Lineage: Bacteria
Description: partial 16S ribosomal RNA
Rfam family: Bacterial small subunit ribosomal RNA
Source: RNAcentral
UACGGAGGAGGCUAGCGUUGUUCGGAAUUACUGGGCGUAAAGCGCCCGUAGGCGGAGUGGAAAGUUGGCUGUGAAAGCCCGGGGCUCAACUUCGGAACUGCCUUCAAAACUGCCACGCUUGAGUUCGAGAGAGGUGGGGGGAAUUCCCAGUGUAGAGGUGAAAUUCGUAGAGAUUCGGAGGAACACCUGUGGCGAAAGCGGCCUACUGGCUCGAUACUGACCCUGAGGUGCGAAAGCGUGGGGAGCAAAAAGG